AAGGAUCAUUACAUUUAGUAGCUUGCUACUGCUAAGAGGGUCUGUUAGGCUGUAUAGUAUUGCUACUGACGAGCAGCAUGAUCCUCUAAGUCAACCCUUGUCUUUUGCGUACCUACGUUUCCUCAGCGGGUAUAACCCGCUGGCUGGACAAAAUUAAAACCCUUGAAUAUUCAAUCAGUGUCUGAGAAACUUAAUAAUUACAACUUUCAACAACGGAUCUCUUGGUUCUGGCAUCGAUGAAGAACGCAGCGAAAUGCGAUAAGUAGUGUGAAUUGCAGAAUUCAGCGAAUCAUCGAAUCUUUGAACGCACAUUGCGCCCCUUGGUAUUCCAUGGGGCAUGCCUGUUCGAGCGUCAUUUGUACCCUCAAGCUCUGCUUGGUGUUGGGUGUUUGUCUAUGCUUUUGCUUGGACUCACCUCAAAGCAAUUGGCAGCCAGUGUUUUGGCAUAGAAGCGCAGCACAUCUUGCACUUCCAGUCUUAAACACCAGCUUCCAGUAAGUCCCUUUACGUUUGACCUCGGAUCAGGUAGGGAUACCCGCUGAACUUAAGCAUAUCAAUAAGCGGAGGAAAAGAAACCAACAGGGAUUGCCUUAGUAACGGCGAGUGAAGCGGCAACAGCUCAAAUUUGAAAUCUGGCUCUCUUAGGGCCCGAGUUGUAAUUUGCAGAGGGCGCUUUGGUGUCGGCAGCGGUCCAAGUUCCUUGGAACAGGACGUCACAGAGGGUGAGAAUCCCGUACGUGGUCGCUAGCCUUUGCCGUGUAAAGCCCCUUCGACGAGUCGAGUUGUUUGGGAAUGCAGCUUCUAAAUGGGAGGUAAAUUUCUUCUAAAGCUAAAUACUGGCCAGAGACCGAUAGCGCACAAGUAGAGUGAUCGAAAGAUGAAAAGCACUUUGGAAAGAGAGUCAAAUAGCACGUGAAAUUGUUGAAAGGGAAGCGCUUGCAGCCAGACUUGCCUGUAGUAGUUUAUCUAGACUUUUGUCUAGUGCACUCUUCUGCAGGCAGGCCAGCAUCAGUCUAGGCGAUUGGAUAAAGGUCUCUAUCACGUACCUCUCUUUGGGGAGGCCUUAUAGGGGAGACGUCAUGCAACCAGUCUGGACUGAGGUCUGCGCAUCUGCUAGGAUGCUGGCGUAAUGGCUGUAAGCGGCC
RNAcentral lists this ribosomal RNA (1145 nucleotides) under uncultured Ampelomyces. Its description in RNAcentral is "eukaryotic LSU rRNA". The stretch from base 512 to 1145 matches the Rfam family "Eukaryotic large subunit ribosomal RNA", at positions 1 to 649 of the family's 3401-position model. The record is from RNAcentral. Lineage: Eukaryota; Fungi; Ascomycota; Dothideomycetes; Pleosporales; Leptosphaeriaceae.